UAUUUUAUCAGAUUUAAUACUUGUGAUUCUUAAUGCGGUUAUUAUUUUUUUCUUCUAGAAUCUCCCCAAAGUAAACCUAGCUGAGCUAUGGGCUGCUGCUCACCAAAGCGGGGAAAAGCAAGCAAAAUAUGGCACUGGGGAAUCGGGAAACACAACCCAUCUUGACGACCGUAUUUCUGAUGGUGAAAGCAAAGAUAACGUGGAAACUCAUCCUAAAACAUCAGAUGAUGUUGAGAGCUUCUCUCAGUCUUCCGUCUCAAUUAACAUCAAGUGAAGAAUCAACAGCAUCACUGUUAAAAGCAGCAGAGGGUGAAGGGAGAGGGUGCAAAAAAUAUAAAAGUGGUAAGUUAGUGAAUAUUUCUGAGUGUCUUGUUUAUAUCCUGUUACUUUAAAAGUGUGUAGAUCCAAAACACGAUGCCCAUUUCUUUUGUUUUUUUUUUUGUUUUCCUACCACCAACUUCUUCCCCCACCUGCUGCAACCCUCUGAAAUUCUUUCUCACUGUUACUUUGAUCUCAUUGAAACAUUCAUGAAAGCAGACAGAUUUGUACAUGUAUUUAAAAUUCACAGCAGUAAAUGUUCUCCUUAAUGUGUCUGUGGCUACAUUUUAGAGAUGUGUUGUUGCUACUGGGAUUAAGAAAAGAAGAUGAAUCAUCUUGGGAUUCAGAGAGUAUCUCUGAGAAUCUUCUACAGAAGUCUGUUGAUCAUUUAUCUGGGGCUGCAGAUGAAAAAGGAAACCAUACAGGAAAUACACAAGUAGAAGAAUCAUCUGAGAAAUGUCUUCACUUGAAGGUACUAACUUUAUAUUUAUAUCUUGAAUUAACUACAUGCUUCAUGAAAUGCAUAGUAUUUAUUACAUAUCUCACUUCAAACCCCACUCAGCCUGCCAUUGAAAGGAAACAUCCCAUUCAGAAAAAAGCAGUAGCAAAGGGAGAUUUACGGACAUGCAACUCAGAAGUACCAAAAGAAGGGCAAGAAAGGCUGGAUGGCUGUGAAAAUAUCCAGGAGCAGGUAGUUGUGAGACGCCUUCAACAAGGACUGGCUGACACUCUAAAAAAACCUUCUGUGUCAGAGACUUCCCUGGAAAAUUCAUCACAUUAUCACAUUAAGUUAGAAGAUGAGAAUCGGGAUUUAAAGAAGAAAUUAAACCAAAUCAGAAAACAAGGUCAUAUGUGACUAAACACAUGAGGAAAAGUAUUUUUAAAAAGAUCUUACAUGUGAUGGUGAUAAAACGGAAGACUGACAGAAGCUCUGAACAUCAUCUGAUGGUUUAUGAUGAGUUUCCACAUUAUUUUUGCUUUCACCAUCAGAAAUACUGUUGUCAAGAGGGGUUGUGUUUCCUGGUUUCCCAG
Molecule: long non-coding RNA, 1350 nt
Filed under: Fukomys damarensis (Damara mole-rat)
Lineage: Eukaryota; Metazoa; Chordata; Mammalia; Rodentia; Bathyergidae
Description: lncRNA (ENSFDAG00000028827.1)
Source: RNAcentral